AGAACCUCCUCAUAAAUCAAACCACCCCUGAGGCCACGCCCCCUUCAAUAAAGCCGGACCUCUCUCUCUUCAUCACCACAUUGGGAACGUCACGUUCAGCCUCAGAGAGACAAGCACGAGCCCCACCCGCACCUGAGACCUCCCGGUACCCGUCACUUCUUCACUCCUUCACUCCUUCACCUUCACGGGCAAGAAACGGCAGCGCGAGCCCCGGGUUUGAACCCCUCCGUCAGAACACCGUGUUCUCAUGAUGAUGAUGUCAUACCUGUGGAUCCUGCUCAUAGGUAGCCUGUUGGCUGCACACACCAAUGCACAAGAUGAUGCAACUUUAGCCGAGGAGGUGGCAACAGAAACCACCACAGAUACUGAACCAGACAUUAAGGAAGACCCAUCAGCACCAAGUGACCCCGCUACUAGCACAGGGGAAGAAGAAGAUCCAAGCAAUCCUACGGAUGACGAUGGAGUUCUUGUAGCUUCUGCAGUUGAAGAAACUGAUCCUCCAGCUGUGGAAGAAACAGAUUCUCCAACAGACGCAGGGGCAGAUCUUCCCACAGAGGGACAAACUGAUUCUCCAGCAGAGGUUGAAACAGAGCCUGCUGCAGUUGGACAGACUGAUCCUCCAACAGAGGCUGGAGCUGAUCUACCAAUAGAAGAAAAGACAGAGGGAGGGACUGACCUGGUAGCAGAGGUAGAGACAGAUCCUCCAACAGAGGGACAGACGGACCUUCCAACAGAAGAAAAGACUGAUCCUCCAACAGAGACUGAGACAGAUCCACCAACGGACGGAGGGGCUGAUACUUCAACAGAGAAGGAAACAGAUCCUCCAACAGAGGGAGGACCCAAUCCUCCAUUAGAUAGCGAUGCAGCACCAGAGAUUCCUACAGGUGGAGAUACCGAUGUUACAACUGUCUUGACUGACGCUUCCUCCGUUGGAGCAGUAGAAACUCCUACAGAUGUGGUUUCUGUAGACGGAAAUGCAGCAUCAGCAACUUCCACAGGAGACACCGACACUGAAGAGGCAACAUCAACAUCAGCUUUGGUCCCGGGGGCUGGAGAUACAGAGGAGAAUCCCACCUCAGGUGCUAAUACAACGGCUGCCAAAGAUGAGAGCGGAGCAGAUGAUAAGUCCUCACCAGCAACAGAUGUUGAACCCAGUAAGGAGGAAGAACCCACAGAUCCAGCAGCUAAUGAAGACACGUCCAAAUCAGCCACUGAAGAAAUUGUCAAAGCAGAAACUCAACCAAAAGUAGACGCUGAAGUUUCAACGUCUGAUAUGGCAGUUAUUGUACCGGGAGUGAAAACAGAGCUCGGGUUUAACUUGGAAGAUGCUCUGGAUGCGGGGCCUGCAGCGGUCGACCCUCCACAACCAGGAGGAAAGAGCCGCAGUAUGGGAUCCGAUGGUGGGAUAGUUGGUGCAUCCGGAGGCGAAAAGCCUCAAGGCAAAGAGGGCGGAUCUGGUGCCUUAGCAGGAAUCCUUUCUGCCAUUGUUUUGACUGCAGUGGGAGCCGUCAGUGGAUACAUCCUUUAUCAGAAGAAGAAACUGUGCUUCAAAAACAGACAGGAAGCAGAUCCUGAGGCAGCACACAAAGCCAACGCAGCUGAGGCUCAGUCGGAUCCUCAGGUUCUCAACACAUUGUUGAACUCCUCCUAAAACCAGCAAUGAUCACCUGACUGCCUGGACCAACAGAAUUCAAGCAAAGUGGCAAUCUCACUGUUAGCCUCUACCUACGGUGGAGCUAAGUUACUGUGAGGCCCCUGAGUAGGGCUGUGUGUGUGUGUGUGUGUGUGUGUGUGUGUGUGUGUUUGUGUGUGUGUGUGUGUGUGUACAUAUGUGGAAACGAAGACUUGGACAAAGAUCAAUUAAAUGUGUGUGAACUUUAGGGUUUUUGGAUGAUCCCAACAAAGUCAAAACCUUCAGUGAAACUUGUACUUCAGAGUAGACAUAGGCAACCGGUGACCCGGGGGCCACAUGUGGCCCUCAGUGUUAUUUUAGAUGGCCCAUAAAGAAAAAAGCAGAAAAUGAGGCAGAAAUGUACAAAACAGCAAAAAAUACACAAAAUUACUCAAAAAAACAUACAAAAUUUUCCAAAAAAAAUUGCACAAAUGGUGAACAAAAUAAUAAAAAUGUACUCCAAAAACA
Gouania willdenowi (blunt-snouted clingfish) is the source of this 2140-nucleotide long non-coding RNA. Ensembl annotates it as mucin-1-like. NCBI's taxonomy places the organism in Eukaryota, Metazoa, Chordata, Actinopteri, Blenniiformes, Gobiesocidae. The record is from Ensembl.